AUGCCAAUAGUUUAAUGGUAAAAUAACAGCGUCCGAAACUGGGUAUGGGGGUUCGAUUCCCUCUUGGCAUGCCA
This 74-nucleotide transfer RNA is filed under the name Tissierellia bacterium. Its description in RNAcentral is "tRNA-Arg". It matches the Rfam family "tRNA". From Rfam's summary of the family: Transfer RNA (tRNA) molecules are approximately 80 nucleotides in length. The record is from RNAcentral. Lineage: Bacteria; Bacillati; Bacillota; Tissierellia.